Molecule: ribosomal RNA, 559 nt
Filed under: uncultured bacterium
Lineage: Bacteria
Description: bacterial SSU rRNA
Rfam family: Bacterial small subunit ribosomal RNA
Source: RNAcentral
AGAGUUUGAUCCUGGCUCAGGACGAACGCUGGCGGCGUGCUUAACACAUGCAAGUCGAACGGGAGGAAAAGAGAAGCUUGCUUCUUUUUGAAUCUAGUGGCAAACGGGUGAGUAACACGUAAACAACCUGCCUUCAGGAUAGGGACAACAGACGGAAACGACUGCUAAUACCGAAUGUGUUCCGGAGACCGCAUGAUUUCCGGAAGGAAGGAUGGCCUCUAUUUAUAAGCUAUCGCCUGAAGAGGGGUUUGCGUCUGAUUAGGCAGUUGGUGAGGUAACGGCCCACCAAACCUACGAUCAGUAGCCGGUCUGAGAGGAUGAACGGCCACACUGGAACUGAGACACGGUCCAGACUCCUACGGGAGGCAGCAGUGGGGAAUCUUCCGCAAUGGACGAAAGUCUGACGGAGCAACGCCGCGUGAGUGAUGACGGCCUUCGGGUUGUAAAGCUCUGUGAUCGGGGACGAAUGGCUGGUAUGCUAAUACCAUAUCAGAGUGACGGUACCCGAAUAGCAAGCCACGGCUAACUACGUGCCAGCAGCCGCGGUAAGACACAGUGU